Molecule: RNA transcript, 1525 nt
Organism: Suricata suricatta (meerkat)
Lineage: Eukaryota; Metazoa; Chordata; Mammalia; Carnivora; Herpestidae
Gene: DPH6
Gene name: diphthamine biosynthesis 6
Exons: 12
Source: RefSeq, a predicted model, not a curated record
GGUGUUCCACAAGGCAGCCGCAGCGGUCGUAACGCCCAGCCGGUGACAGGCGGCGAGGCGAACACCCGCACCAGGCCCGGCCGCGUGUCACGGCCUGCGGCGGCGGCGGCGACUUCCCGGCUCCCGCCCGCGCCCGACGCACGCACGCACGCGCACUGCGCCCAGCAUGAGGGUCGCCGCUCUGAUCAGUGGUGGGAAGGACAGCUGUUAUAAUAUGAUGCAGUGCAUUGCUGCUGGGCAUCAGAUCGUUGCUUUAGCAAAUCUAAGACCGGCUGAAAACCAAGAUGAACUGGAUAGCUACAUGUAUCAGACGGUGGGUCAUCAGGCCAUUGAUUUGUAUGCAGAGGCCAUGGCUCUUCCCCUUUAUCGCCGUACCAUAAGAGGAAGGAGUGUGGAUAUGGGACGAGUAUACACCAAAUGUGAAGGUGAUGAGGUUGAAGAUCUCUAUCAGCUUUUGAAACUUGUUAAGGAAAAAGAAGAAGUGGAGGGGAUAUCUGUAGGUGCUAUACUUUCUGACUAUCAGCGUGUUCGAGUAGAAAAUGUGUGUAAAAGGCUUAAUCUACAGCCAUUAGCUUACCUUUGGCAGAGAAAGCAGGAAGAUUUGCUCCGAGAGAUGAUAUCAUCUAAUAUUCAAGCAAUCAUCAUCAAAGUAGCAGCUUUGGGUUUAGAUCCAGAUAAGCAUCUUGGAAAACCCCUGGAUCAAAUGGAACCUUAUCUUUUAGAGCUUUCUAAGAAGUACGGAGUCCAUGUUUGUGGAGAAGGUGGAGAGUAUGAGACGUUCACUUUGGAUUGCCCUCUAUUUAAGAAGAAAAUAAUUGUGGAUGCAUCAGAAGUGGUCAUACAUUCAGCUGAUGCAUUUGCACCUGUUGCUUAUCUACGCUUUCUGGAAUUGCACUUGGAGGACAAGCAUUUGGAAUUCUGACAAGCUGCUUAUGGGUAGCCGCUCAUGUGAAAUGAACCGUAAUGAGGAUAAUGUCCUCUCUGGACAGAGGAAGAAGACCAAGGUGAAACUCCACCUCCCAUUGGAAAUCAUGGACUCACCUUCUACAAAACACUCCUAUUUAUUAGGGAAAUGGAAUUGAAAGAUACCAUUUUGGUCCAUCUAUCUGAAAAGCAUGAAAAAUGUCUCAGCUGCUAACUCGACAUAUGUGACCGCAUUCACCUUUGCCUGCCUGCAAGAGUAUGUGUAGAAACUAGGUUGCCAGAAGGAAUACAUUUCUCGGUGGAUGGCCUUGCCCACCAAAGUGACCUAAAGAUUGGUGACGGUCUCUCUCAUUUCAAAGAAAUCCUACAUGAUCAGAGCAUUUCUCAUUCGGCACCUGCUGGCAUUGGACCACAUAGUCAGUCUAGCAAGGUUUCCACUCUAAGACAUGUAAGCAUGGGAAUAAUCUGGUGGCAAGACCCCUGGAAGGUAUCAUCUCUACAGCAUCUGGCAAGAAAAUAAAGGGACAUUUUGUACAGUUAGGAAGCAAAGAAAAUCUUCCAUAAAUGGGUAUUUUAGAAAUCUUAAUUUCUGAAAAUUCAC